Molecule: long non-coding RNA, 592 nt
Organism: Ipomoea triloba (trilobed morning glory)
Lineage: Eukaryota; Viridiplantae; Streptophyta; Magnoliopsida; Solanales; Convolvulaceae
Exons: 2
Source: RefSeq, a predicted model, not a curated record
CAUAGCUCAUUAGCUGUGUGCAUACACAAAAUCAACACACACAUAUAUUAGCCAUGAAUCCCAAGCCCUUUUCUCUAUUUUUCAUACUUUUCUUGAUCGCAACCCUGCUUAUUUCGCCCAUAACAUGUGCCCGGGAACUAUCCACUAAAGAUGUUGGCGACCCCAAGCGUAUAGGUUACGGGGCAUUAAGUCCGAAACCCUUAUGCAACAAACUAAGAUAUAGGAGCUGUCUUGAGCCACGACCACCAAAGAAGAAGUGCCCUAAACCCUACAUCCGCGGUUGUAUUCCGUGAGAGAGCCGUCCGAUUUGCCGGCGUCGCCUGGGCUAAACAACGAUGCAAAUACGAAUGGAAUAAAUAAAAUAAAUGAGCUGAGCAGAAAAUGUCAGCUUCAGUUUAGUGUAUUGUAUGCAUAUAUGUAGUGUGUAUGUUGUUAUAUUUGCUUGUUGCAAUUGUACUUCCCAUCUAUCUAUCUUUCUAGCUAAUUUUCAUUAGCUACUGUCCUUUGCUUAUGUAAGAAUAUAUGGAGCCCACCGAAAAAUGGUUGUGAGUUUAUCUCCUCAUCUAAUAAAAAAUAUAAAAGUUUGUAUUUA